RNAcentral lists this ribosomal RNA (468 nucleotides) under uncultured bacterium. Its description in RNAcentral is "partial 16S ribosomal RNA". It matches the Rfam family "Bacterial small subunit ribosomal RNA", at positions 28 to 507 of the family's 1533-position model. The record is from RNAcentral.
GACGAACGCUGGCGGCGUGCUUAACACAUGCAAGUCGAACGGAAAGGCCCUGCUUUUGUGGGUUGCUCGAGUGGCGAACGGGUGAGUAACACGUGAGUAACCUGCCCUUGACUUUGGGAUAACUUCAGGAAACUGGGGCUAAUACCGGAUAGGAGAUCCUGCUGCAUGUUGGGGGUUGGAAAGUUUCGGCGGUUGGGGAUGGACUCGAGGCUUAUCAGCUUGUUGGGGGGGUAGUGGCUUACCAAGGCUUUGACGGGUAGCCGGCCUGAGAGGGUGACCGGCCACAUUGGGACUGAGAUACGGCCCAGAAUCCUACGGGAGGCAGCAGUGGGGAAUAUUGCACAAUGGGCGGAAGCCUGAUGCAGCAACGCCGCGUGCGGGAUGACGGCCUUCGGGUUGUAAACCGCUUUCGCCUGUGACGAAGCGUGAGUGACGGUAAUGGGUAAAGAAGCACCGGCUAACUACGUG